RNAcentral lists this ribosomal RNA (253 nucleotides) under uncultured bacterium. RNAcentral describes it as "partial 16S ribosomal RNA". It matches the Rfam family "Bacterial small subunit ribosomal RNA", at positions 524 to 776 of the family's 1533-position model. The record is from RNAcentral.
UACGGAGGGGGUUAGCGUUGUUCGGAAUGACUGGGCGUAAAGCGCGCGUAGGCGGAUCAGGAAGUUGGGGGUGAAAUCCCGGGGCUCAACCCCGGAAUGGCCUUCAAGACUCCUGGUCUUGAGUUCGAGAGAGGUGAGUGGAAUUCCGAGUGUAGAGGUGAAAUUCGUAGAUAUUCGGAGGAACACCAGUGGCGAAGGCGGCUCACUGGCUCGACACUGACGCUGAGGUGCGAAAGCGUGGGGAGCAAACAGG